Long non-coding RNA from Clupea harengus (Atlantic herring), 117 nucleotides. RefSeq lists it as uncharacterized. The record is from RefSeq and is a predicted model, not a curated record. The transcript is spliced from 3 exons. Lineage: Eukaryota; Metazoa; Chordata; Actinopteri; Clupeiformes; Clupeidae.
UUCCAUGGAUGUAUGAGACAGAGGAGCUGAGCGACUGGCUAGUUUCUGUUUGAGUGAUUUUAUUUUCUUCUUUUACAUGUAUCAGAGAGCAAUAAAACGUGCGAAUACCAGGUCGGU